RNAcentral lists this ribosomal RNA (253 nucleotides) under uncultured bacterium. RNAcentral describes it as "partial 16S ribosomal RNA". It matches the Rfam family "Bacterial small subunit ribosomal RNA", at positions 524 to 776 of the family's 1533-position model. The record is from RNAcentral.
UACGAAGGGGGCUAGCGUUGUUCGGAUUUACUGGGCGUAAAGGGCGCGUAGGCGGCGGGUCAAGUCGAGUGUGAAAGCCCCGGGCUCAACCUGGGAAUUGCGCUCGAGACUGGUCUGCUUGAGUUCGGGAGAGGAGAGUGGAAUUCCCAGUGUAGAGGUGAAAUUCGUAGAUAUUGGGAAGAACACCGGUGGCGAAGGCGGCUCUCUGGACCGAGACUGACGCUGAGGCGCGAAAGCGUGGGGAGCAAACAGG